GCACUUCGGGAUAAGCCUGGGAAACUGGGUCUAAUACCGGAUAGGACCAUUUAGCGCAUGCUUUAUGUGGGAAGCUUUUGCGGUGUGGGAUGGGCCCGCGGCCUAUCAGCUAGUUGGUGGGGUGACGGCCUACCAAGGCGACGACGGGUAGCCGGCCUGAGAGGGUGUCCGGCCACACUGGGACUGAGAUACGGCCCAGACUCCUACGGGAGGCAGCAGUGGGGAAUAUUGCACAAUGGGCGCAAGCCUGAUGCAGCGACGCCGCGUGGGGGAUGACGGCCUUCGGGUUGUAAACCUCUUUCAGCAGGGACGAAGCGCAAGUGACGGUACCUGCAGAAGAAGCACCGGCAACUACGUGCCAGCAGCCGCGGUAAUACGUAGGGUGCGAGCGUUGUCCGGAAUUACUGGGCGUAAAGAGCUCGUAGGUGGUUUGUCGCGUUGUUCGUGAAAUCUCGCGGCUUAACUGUGAGCGUGCGGGCGAUACGGGCAGACUGGAGUACUGCAGGGGAGACUGGAAUUCCUGGUGUAGCGGUGGAAUGCGCAGAUAUCAGGAGGAACACCGGUGGCGAAGGCGGGUCUCUGGGCAGUAACUGACGCUGAGGAGCGAAAGCGUGGGGAGCGAACAGGAUUAGAUACCCUGGUGGUCCACGCCGUAAACGGUGGGAACUAGGUGUGGGUUUCCUU
This 684-nucleotide ribosomal RNA is filed under the name uncultured Mycobacterium sp. RNAcentral describes it as "bacterial SSU rRNA". It matches the Rfam family "Bacterial small subunit ribosomal RNA", at positions 133 to 833 of the family's 1533-position model. The record is from RNAcentral. Lineage: Bacteria; Bacillati; Actinomycetota; Actinomycetes; Mycobacteriales; Mycobacteriaceae.